RNAcentral lists this ribosomal RNA (460 nucleotides) under Gyrinus madagascariensis. Its description in RNAcentral is "partial 16S ribosomal RNA". The stretch from base 1 to 153 matches the Rfam family "Archaeal large subunit ribosomal RNA", at positions 1898 to 2097 of the family's 2987-position model. The record is from RNAcentral. Lineage: Eukaryota; Metazoa; Arthropoda; Insecta; Coleoptera; Gyrinidae.
AACAAAAACAUCUCUUUUUGAUUUUUAUAUAAAGUAUAACCUGCCCACUGAUAUUAUUAAAUGGCCGCAGUAUUUUGACUGUGCAAAGGUAGCAUAAUAAUUAGUUUUUUAAUUAAAAGCUUGUAUGAAUGGUUGAACGAGGUAAAUUCUGUCUUUAAUUGAUUUAAAAUUGAAUUUAAUUUUUAAGUUAAAAAGCUUAAAUUUUUUUAAAAGACGAGAAGACCCUAUAGAUCUUUAUUAUUUUUUUUAAAAUAAUUUAUUUGGAAAUUUAUUUAUUAUUUUAUUUAAAUAAUUUUAUUGGGGUAAUAUAAAGAUUAAAUAAAUUCUUUAUUUUUAAAACAUAAAUUUAUGAUUUUUAUGAUCCAAUUUUAUUGAUUAUAAGAUUAAGUUACCUUAGGGAUAACAGCGUAAUUUUUUUAAAGAGUUCUUAUCGAUAAAAAAGAUUGCGACCUCGAUGUUG